GACGAACGCUGGCGGCGUGCUUAACACAUGCAAGUCGAACGGAAAGGCCCUGCUUGCAGGGUACUCGAGUGGCGAACGGGUGAGUAACACGUGGGUGAUCUGCCCUGCACUUCGGGAUAAGCCUGGGAAACUGGGUCUAAUACCGGAUAGGAGCCAUUUUUAGUGUGAUGGUUGGAAAGUUUUUUCGGUGUAGGAUGAGCUCGCGGCCUAUCAGCUUGUUGGUGGGGUAAUGGCCUACCAAGGCGGCGACGGGUAGCCGGCCUGAGAGGGUGGACGGCCACAUUGGGACUGAGACACGGCCCAGACUCCUACGGGAGGCAGCAGUGGGGAAUAUUGCACAAUGGGCGCAAGCCUGAUGCAGCGACGCCGCGUGGGGGAUGACGGUCUUCGGGUUGUAAACUCCUUGCGCUAGGGACGAAGCUUUUUGUGACGGUACCUAGAUAAGAAGCACCGGCUAACUACGUG
RNAcentral lists this ribosomal RNA (465 nucleotides) under uncultured bacterium. RNAcentral's name for it is "partial 16S ribosomal RNA". It matches the Rfam family "Bacterial small subunit ribosomal RNA", at positions 28 to 507 of the family's 1533-position model. The record is from RNAcentral.